Trichonephila clavata is the source of this 67-nucleotide non-coding RNA. Lineage: Eukaryota; Metazoa; Arthropoda; Arachnida; Araneae; Nephilidae. The record is from the annotation of a GenBank genome assembly.
UGAGUGCAAUGGAUAGCUCAUUGGACUUCUAAUCCAAAGAUCGUGGGUUUGAAUUCCACCUGGAAAG